RNAcentral lists this long non-coding RNA (646 nucleotides) under Malus domestica (apple). Its description in RNAcentral is "long non-coding RNA (MDOM_LNC010243)". Lineage: Eukaryota; Viridiplantae; Streptophyta; Magnoliopsida; Rosales; Rosaceae. The record is from RNAcentral.
GUCAUUCUCGAUGGCGACAGAAACAGUUUAAACUUAAUUGGUACCAAUAUAGGUUUGUUAAUAUCAAUUCAAACAUCCCAAUCGUUUUCAAAGAGACUACAUUAACAUGUAUCAUCCCUUUCAAGUCACAUUCGCAAACUACUAAAAAAACUGUACAGCUCGUCGUUCUCUACACGGUACGAAAAUUGUGUUAACCAGGUGACUGCCUUGGCAGCCAUGAAAAUUGUUCAUCCAUCUCAUCGGUAGAGCAUGUUAUUUUUUGUCAAGUAACGUCUUUUUCACCGAUAACCUUGGUAAUCAAGCCAGUAAAUUGUGGUUUAACCAAGUUCCGUUAAGCACAGUUACUGUAUCGCUAAGGCAUUUUGCUAAGGUCAGUUCAUAGUGCGUGUAGAUGAUUUCUGACCAUUGACACAAUGUGGACUCAACAUGGACCAAUUGUCGGAAAUCGCUCUUGCACGUGUAGAUUGAUCAUAGCACUGCUCUAAAGCUUGGAUGCAUCAUUAUCAUUCACAUUCGACGAUCAAAAUUUUGAAGUCGCAUUUCACAAUGGGAGAAAAUGUGUCUCUCGGUUGACAUUGAAAUCAAACAAACUUCAGACAGAUAAUUCAGAAACUAGAGCUUGCAAAGUUGACAUUUAAUCGGUCAU